CAUCUAAUUGGAAGUGGAAUGAAGAUAAUGCGCUUUACUCUUUCAUUUGUAGCUGGAUUACCCCUGGGCUAACUUAACUUGAAUCUGUUCUCUUUAGUUUUUCACUAAGCCUCAUCUGAGUGCUAUAUACAUAGCUCCUUGAUUACUUAUCAAAUAAAAUGAACAUUCUUUAAGAACUUUUUCUCCCGAUCUUAUUAGCUUAGUAGCAUGGAAGUCACAAUAGUUCUAGCAGAGUAAGCUAGAAGAUGACCAAUCCCGCCCCAUUGGUGUCGAGUCCGUUGUGAGAGGCGCUUAAAAGGCCGUUAAGGCAUUAGACUCAGGGGUGAACCCACAGGGGAGGGGAGAGGUUGCUUCCUAAAAAGAACUGGGGUUGGCUCCUUGCCUUUGAUUCCUUACCCAUAGCAUAAGAUAAAGAAAGGGUGCGUGCUUCAACAUCUAAGUUUCACACAAGGAACCUCCUGCUCUUAAGGAUAAACUACGAUAUUUGAUGGACUGGCAGGUCAGCCACGUAAUUUAUCCCUCAAGCUGAACGAACUUGACCUGCUCCUUUAGUUUAGGGCUAUAGAGUUUACUUGCUUCUCACUAACGGCAGAAUCAUGAGCUUCAUCACUCGACUCUAAACCAAAUUAAAAACACUCGGCUAUAGGAUGACAAUCCUUCACUCCGGAAGGGUAGGUUCCAUACCGACAAGACCUCCUAUCCCAGAAUCCGCUCAUUUCACACCAACUAAAGCGGAACUUAAUCACCAAGGUAGAGUUGUAUAAAGCCCUAAUGUAACUGAACGAAGUGGAAAACCCGCAAUACGAGAGCAAAAACCUUCUGUGUCUAAGAAGAAAAGCAACAUCGAGUUAGGUAGGAUGUAGAUCGAGCGCAAUAAGCUAGAGGAGUGAUUAUUUCGCUUUGGAAGGAAAAAAGCAUCUCAAAUAAGGUCCUCACUCAGCUCUCAGGCUGUCUGGGAAUAGCUCCACCAGACAUAGAAGAAAGGAGUGUAGGAUUGGUAAGCUUUGCCGGAAAGAAGCUAGUCGACUAAUUCAGGAGGCUACUACCGGCGAAGCCUGCUUCGGAGCGUGCUAUUGCGUGAAGCGGAAAGGGACAGCGGAAUCUAAGGCCACACCAGACAGGGAAAAGGAGGAUUAGAUAUUUCGUCAACCACCACUUGAGCGCGAUUCGCUUAUCUGUUGAAAAGUACCAU
This 1192-nucleotide long non-coding RNA is filed under the name Nicotiana benthamiana. RNAcentral describes it as "long non-coding RNA (NBEN_LNC037701)". Lineage: Eukaryota; Viridiplantae; Streptophyta; Magnoliopsida; Solanales; Solanaceae. The record is from RNAcentral.